CCCUAAUAACUCUUUUGGCAGUUAUAUAAUAACUGUUUGACCAUUAACAUCCCCUAAUAACUAUUUGACGGUUACCAUCUAUAUGUCAGUUUUCACCAUUUGUUAUAGAGAUGUAUGCAGUAGAUUUGUAAUUGAGUAUGGGAAUAAUAUUCAAGAUUCAAUACAAUUUCCACAUUAGUCAGAUUAGUUUCUUAUCACGUUAUCAGCACGACUAGACUCUUCACUACGGUUUGGCCGAUAAUCUACAAGCAAUCACAAGGAAUCGGUGUUUCAUAUCCCUGACAACAUCACCGAUUCGUUGCUUCGAUAUUCACAACAUUUUCUGUUCAUCACACCAGGUACACAUCAUUACAACCUCUCAUAUUUGCUGCAUCUGUAUGUGUUAUCAUCGUUCACAUAGUGUGUGUAUACAUCUGCAUAUCUAAAGGAAGAUACAUAACUUUCAAUUUUUGAAACAUCUGCAUAU
RNAcentral lists this long non-coding RNA (466 nucleotides) under Helianthus annuus (common sunflower). RNAcentral's name for it is "hypothetical non coding rna". The record is from RNAcentral. Lineage: Eukaryota; Viridiplantae; Streptophyta; Magnoliopsida; Asterales; Asteraceae.